Molecule: long non-coding RNA, 1278 nt
Organism: Cyprinus carpio carpio
Lineage: Eukaryota; Metazoa; Chordata; Actinopteri; Cypriniformes; Cyprinidae
Source: Ensembl
GUGUAUUUAAACGUGCGCUGGCCACGAGGGGCGUUAACGUGAUGUUACGUGAGUGACGUAAACGUGAUGGCAAAAAAAAAAAAAAAAACGUAAACGUAACGUGAUGGCGCAAAUAACCACGAAGACGGAAGAAUAAUUCUGUUUAUUACAAAAGACUGAAGAUAUAACUGCCGCCAUCCUUUAAUUUAUUUAUUUCUACGUGGAGGACACUUUAUAAACCUACAGAGAUACCGGACCAACGAACGACCUUCACAACGGGACGGAGCUAACGUAAUUAACGUUAACGGUUACUUGGAAAUUCAAACAGUAACGGUCAUCUGACAACUGCGCUGAGCCAAAGGUAAGAAUAAAUGUGCUUUUUAUUCAUCGUUUUAUCAAUCUAAUGUUAAAUUUCACUUCAGUUUAAUAUUUCAAAUUAUUUAUUUGGAUUAUAAAGAUUAUAUAUUUUCAAAUUCCUCUUUUUGUAAUUGUACGUUACAUAACGUUAUCCCUGUUGGUUUAUUUGAGGUGGUCCAAGUUACAGUCUGAGGUAAAAUUAUGAUGAUCCUUUUUAACUAAGUUAUUAAAAUUGGUCACUAAAACAGGUAACUGUAUUUUUUCUUGAUCAAAUAAAGAAACGAUUUUAGAACUUAUAUUUUUUCUACUUUUCAGGACCGGAACAGCAACAAGAGUUUAACUUCUGAUUCGUAAUCUACACACUCUACAGGGCAGUUCAUGAAGACAGAUAGAUGUUGUGCCGACCAGGACAGUUCCUCCUACCACACCAGACUUUGCUGUAUAUGGAUGCCUGACCACUAGCACUGGACAUUUACAACAUUUUGGCGCCAGGGAUCCCUUGCAGAGAAGAUUUUUCAAAGACACCCUCAGAAUUACAACAGAUUUUAAGGCUUAAAAUUAUUGUGGGUGGGAGUAUAAUGAACAUAAUAUGAUUGUUUUAUUUUAUUAUUAUUAUUUAUUUUUAAAUAGUUCCCAUUUUUUAACAAUACAUUUGUUUAAUAAUACAGCACAAUAUAGGGCUAAGUUGCACCAGGUCAGGAAAAAACACAUAAGUUGCAUCCGUGUAUAAGACACAUUUUACUAUUAAUUUCAGAAAUAAUUUAAAUACUGAUAAAUAAAACAAACGUUAAGAAACUUAAAAACUAUGAACACUGUAAAGAUUUUAUUUUCCCUCACUUCAAAUCAUUUAAAUUGAAUACUAUUCAAAACAGAAUAAAAAUAAAAAUAUUUAGGCCUAUGUAUAAAAUAAAAAAAAUUCUAGUGCCAUUAUUUACAAGCAGU